AUAUCAAUAAGCGGAGGAAAAGAAACUAACAAGGAUUCCCCUAGUAGCGGCGAGCGAAGCGGGAAAAGCUCAAAUUUGUAAUCUGGCGUCUUCGACGUCCGAGUUGUAAUCUCGAGAAGUGUUUUCCGUGAUAGACCGCAUACAAGUCUCUUGGAACAGAGCGUCAUAGUGGUGAGAACCCAGUACACGAUGCGGAUGCCUAUUACUUUGUGAUACACUUUCGAAGAGUCGAGUUGUUCGGGAAUGCAGCUCAAAUUGGGUGGUAAAUUCCAUCUAAAGCUAAAUAUUGGCGAGAGACCGAUAGCGCACAAGUA
This 314-nucleotide ribosomal RNA is filed under the name Betula environmental sample. RNAcentral's name for it is "partial large subunit ribosomal RNA". It matches the Rfam family "Eukaryotic large subunit ribosomal RNA", at positions 40 to 350 of the family's 3401-position model. The record is from RNAcentral. Lineage: Eukaryota; Viridiplantae; Streptophyta; Magnoliopsida; Fagales; Betulaceae.